CUUCUUCCUGCUGCCCAUGGCUCUGCAAAGAAGACGAAGCCCUGUUACCGCGGCCGUGGGCCGUUCCCCCGCAGCCUCGCGACAAACCGCUGCGUGGAUCAGCAAGCCCAGAGCCUCCUUCAGACAAGCCCCCCUCCUACGGCCCCCGGCCCCUUUUUAAGGUGCUUCUAACUGGCGGCAAAUCAGCACACUGAUACAAAGUGAACACCCCGCGAGGAAGCGGAGCCUGCAGUCCACGGGCUCGUGGCUCGCCGGGCGGUUUUCUGGGGAUCUGCGAAGCCCCCUCCCCACCCCGGAGCCGGCCAGGGGGCGCGCGCAGAGGCCGGAGUCAGUGCGCCGGGCGCGGUGCAGCCUGUCGGGCACAGGGUCGCCAGUCGAGGAAUUCUGACAAAAAAACGACAUGGGACCCUGUUAUCCCUGCUGUUCUUAUGGAUUACUGGGAAAGUGAGCCACUGCGAACGACAGGUACAAGAUCUUCGACGCGCCCGGAGUCACCAACCGAGUCUGCCGCGACCUAGCCGCGGUCGUCAUGGCAACCUGGCCCCCCCGCCAGGCCUGCCAGGAAAGCCGGCGGACACGUAAGCCACGCCCACUCUGGGCCCAACGCAGUCUCUCCGCGGAGGCUCUGAACCCAGCCAGGGAGAGGCAGGAGGGAGUCCCGCCCCUUGCCCUCCAUAUCGGACCAUAGGAACCCACUCAUUGGCUGCAGUGUUUGUCAGCGUCUGGAGGCUUCGAACCCACCAAGCAAAGACCCAGUGCAUCUGUGCGUUGCACAGUCGCAUCUGUGAAUCCCUGCAUCCCUCCUGCCCUGCCUGCCAAGACUGAUGUGCAGCUUUUCUACCAUCACAUACCGGUAUAAUGUGUGCAAGGUGGGGGGUGUCUCCAGGUUUUGAGGGAUCUGCAAGCGUUCUCUUUAAGGCAAAGAAUAUGAAAUUACAAAUUCAAAAUUAGAUAUGAAAGUCAAGUGAGACACAUACAAAACAGUUACAGACAUUGUAGAUAUUAAUCCAACUGUAUCAAUAACCACUUUAAAUGUGAAUAAUCUGAUUACACCAAUUAAAAAAGAGAUUGUCAGAAUGGAUUUCAAAAACAAACAAAGCCCAAUCGUGUGUUAUCCACAAGAAAAUACAUUAAAAGCAAAAGGAUAGAGAAAGCUAUACCAGGCUGACACUAAUUAAAAAAAUAGCUGAAGUAGGUAUGUUAAUUUCAAGAAAAGCAGACUUCAGAACAAGGAAAUUUAUCAGGUAUAAACAGGGACAUUACAUAAAGUUAAAGGGAUCAGUUAUUUGGGAAGACAUAACAAUACUUAAUAUGUAUGUACUUAAAAACAGAGCACCGAAAUAUGUGAGGCAAAAGAAGAUAAAACUGCAAGGAAAAAUAGGUAAACUCAGUAUUAUAAUAGAAUGCUUUCAUACCAUUUUUAAAAAGUAAUUAAUACAUCCAGCAGAAGCAAAUGAGCAAGGAUAUAGUUGAACUGAAAAAUAUCAAAUUGAUCUAAUUGACAUUUAUGCAAUAUUUAGUUCAACAACAGCGGAAUAUAGAUUCUUUCUCAAGCUCACAUGGGACAUUCACUGAGAUAGACCACAAUCUAGGCCAUAAAACAUAGCUUAACAAAUUUAAAAGGAUAGAACAAAGUAUGUUCUCUGACUGCAAUAGAAUUAAACUAGGAAUCAAUCACAGCUGAUGAAAGAGAUCUCACAGAUUUAAAUAAAUGAAGAAAUAUUCCGUGUUCAUGGAUAGGAAGAAUUAAUAUUGUUAAGAUAUCAAUUCUUCCUAAGUGAAGCAUACACCAAAUGAUUUCCAUCCAGGGAGUGCUGAUACCCUGUUUGGCCAUGAGGUACCCAGCAACCCUCUGUGAAGUACAGGGCGAUGG
RNAcentral lists this long non-coding RNA (1873 nucleotides) under Homo sapiens (human). RNAcentral's name for it is "HSALNT0314925". Lineage: Eukaryota; Metazoa; Chordata; Mammalia; Primates; Hominidae. The record is from RNAcentral.